UCUAGAUCUCUUGGGUUACAAUUGAAAGCAACCAGACACUUGAAAUUUAGGGUUUGAUGGUGAUACUAAAAUGGGGGUGAGAGUUGACAAAAGAGAUACUCCUUUGCUUCUCUGAGUCUGUACAAAAAUUUGAAGUUCUGACACCAGGUAUUCGAUUAAAUGCUAACUCGAGAUUCACUAUUAAUUUUAAGGUUCAUGUUGAUUGUGGUUCCUUAUACUUCAAGAUUUGGAGGGUGCCCAUUUGUAUUUUCUUUUGUACGAUGA
This 264-nucleotide long non-coding RNA is filed under the name Helianthus annuus (common sunflower). Its description in RNAcentral is "sRNA HanXRQr2_Chr07g0295411". The record is from RNAcentral. Lineage: Eukaryota; Viridiplantae; Streptophyta; Magnoliopsida; Asterales; Asteraceae.